CUUUGUAUUGAUGUUGGCCCAUAAAGGCAUAGUACAAGUGAAGUUACAAAAUGGACCAUUACCCACACUUACAUUCUCGAGAUAAAAUUAACCCAACAGAAAAAGUCCAUUAUAUUGACUUUUCCUUAAGCUUCGAGAAAAACCUAAGCAGUACACGCGUCCAGCAUGUAAAGAAAUUCCAACACGCGUCAUCCCAAGCUUCAUCACCAAGCUUGGAUUGUGUGCCUCCUCACGCGCCGCUGCAGCAGGUGAAAGAUACUAUAUGAUCACCGAUGAAGUCCGGUGAAAGUUCUUUGAACAUUAGUAUACAUAUAUUUUUUUUUUUUUUGUCAACAUACUUUGUAUUGAUGUUGGCCCAUAAAGGCAUAGUACAAGUGAAGUUACAAAAUGGACCAUUACCCACACUUACAUUCUCGAGAUAAAAUUAACCCAACAGAAAAAGUCCAUUAUAUUGACUUUUCCUUAAGCUUCGAGAAAAACCUAAGCAGUACACGCGUCCAGCAUGUAAAGAAAUUCCAACACGCGUCAUCCCAAGCUUCAUCACCAAGCUUGGAUUGUGUGCCUCCUCACGCGCCGCUGCAGCAGGUGGAUAAUUUUGUGACGCGCCUCCGGCAAAUC
Molecule: long non-coding RNA, 618 nt
Filed under: Brassica napus (rape)
Lineage: Eukaryota; Viridiplantae; Streptophyta; Magnoliopsida; Brassicales; Brassicaceae
Description: long non-coding RNA (BNAP_LNC019255)
Source: RNAcentral